This is a non-coding RNA of Strongyloides stercoralis, 45 nucleotides long. The record is from Rfam. NCBI's taxonomy places the organism in Eukaryota, Metazoa, Nematoda, Chromadorea, Rhabditida, Strongyloididae.
CCAACGGCCCUCUUUAGGGCCACCAUUUAUUGAUUUCCCUUGUUG